UAGCUUAGUUGGCAGAGUGCAAGGCUCUUAACCUUAAGGUCGUGGGUUCAAGCCCCAU
RNAcentral lists this transfer RNA (58 nucleotides) under Zea mays. It matches the Rfam family "tRNA", at positions 8 to 63 of the family's 71-position model. Rfam says of the family: Transfer RNA (tRNA) molecules are approximately 80 nucleotides in length. Their secondary structure includes four short double-helical elements and three loops (D, anti-codon, and T loops). The record is from Rfam by way of RNAcentral. Lineage: Eukaryota; Viridiplantae; Streptophyta; Magnoliopsida; Poales; Poaceae.